UUCAGGCGCAGGGCAGUACCUGCCCACCACACAUUGGGCUGACCCAAGACCACUGUGCGUGUGACAGCGGAUGAUCUGUGCCUAGGCAGAACGAAC
Molecule: microRNA precursor, 96 nt
Filed under: Homo sapiens (human)
Lineage: Eukaryota; Metazoa; Chordata; Mammalia; Primates; Hominidae
Description: mir-210 microRNA precursor family
Rfam family: mir-210 microRNA precursor family
Source: Rfam by way of RNAcentral